CAAAUAUAUAUGUAUUAAGAUAAAAUCAGUUUAAGUUUAUCUCUAAAAAUUGUUAAUAUUUAUUUAUUAUUCCAAAUAUAUAUAAUGAUAAAUCAUCAUCAAAAACAUUAAAUUGUUUAUUAAAAAUAAUGAAUCAGUCUAAAAUCAUGGAUAAUGAUCGAAAUCACUUCUCAAAUAAUAGUAUAGAUUAGAUUUCAACCAUUUUACCUUUUAUCAUAUUUUUAAUUGGUUUGAAACAUAUCAACUUAUGUUAAGAUUUGACUUAUGCCUUCUUCUUUUUUUCUUUUUUCUUUUUUUUUUAUACUUUGAAUCUAUUUAGCUUCGAUUCAGUUUUAGAUACAUGUAGUUAAUGCAAGCAACCAAUCAAAGAACACACUAGAAUUGUUUACCAUGACUUCGUUGAUCUACACUUCAAGGAAGAGAACAAAAGUCUUAUACUUUCACUGAAUACAUUUAAUCGAUAUACCUAUCGUAUUAAAAAUGAUUUUUCUUCUCUACUACAUGUAUAAAGAGUACAAAUAACUGGAUCUCAACCGCUGAAACCUACAGAAAGAUUAAGAUGAUGAUCAUGACUUCUCCACGUAUCACCGAUCACACACCAAAAAAUAGUCACCACGAGCUCUUGGUGUCGCUGAGAGCAAUCAAGUAAAAUGAUCAUCUUGAUUCUAUCUAUCUCUUUUCUUAUUUUUUAUCGUCUCUCUCACUUUACUUUAUUGCUUUCUCUCUUUUGUGAAAUUUAGCUUCUUUCGACUCUUAGGAUUCAUCAGUGGCUACGUCAGAGAAACCGUCAUGAACUGCGUUAGGAUUUGGUGAUUGAAAUCAAACAAGAUUGAGUAACUUAAACCAAGACAAUGACGUCAUGUUAGGAAAAUGAAAUGUCACAUUUAUGGAGAUAUGGAAGUCGGCAGGAUCGUGGAAAUAUUACUUUCAUGGAGUUAUGGAAGUUGCAAGUAUUUUGGAAUAUUUCCUAAUAGGUUCAUGGAAAGGGGCGAAUGCCCUAAUCCGACUAGGUUAACCUAAUAGACUCCUACUAUAUAAGAGGAGCUCGUGUGUACUCUUUCUCCUUUGUCCAAGAAAAGACCUAGCUUGGUUUGUGAGCUUUGGUUGUGAGAGAAAGAGAUGUUCUAUAUUCUUUGUACUUGAGAUUAUAGUGGAUUGCCUCUUGCCAGGCCCCAGUGGACGUAAACCAUUCUAGGUGAACCACUGGGUAAACAAUUUCUUGUGUCCAUCUUCUAUCUUUUCCGCAUUCUUCUUCCUAUCUCUAUUAUUCUACAAACUCAACUUUCUUACUUACGUCGUCGAGUUCGUCAGAGAGUGUAUCAGCACGUUUGUGUGUUUGAUUCUUGUUCUUGAGUCAAACAGUUUCGUCGUUGUGGUUUUAACAUCGACGAAGAAUACGUUGACUCGUUGACUGUAGUUGAUCGUUAUAACAACCUUUGGGCAUUACUUCAAAUCCAUUCUCGGCCUACCAAUGUGUAUCAAUAUUUUGCCACUCAGUGACAUCCCAAAUAGCUGCUACACCAAAAUGGCCAUACUUAAAAAUCUCAACCUUUUUUGCCUUUAGUGUCUCCGAGUUCUCCGCCAUUCAAACAACAAACACUCUUCUUGUCUGAAAGUGAAAGCUUUUGGUCCUUUGCCAACAAAUCCAUUUUUACCAUCAGCCAUUGCUCAUAAAAAUUUAGAGUCGCUGAAGCCUCAUACUCCUACUUUUUUCCCGGUUCACCUCCCAUCGAUUUCAACCCGGAACAAAUAAACCAGCUCUUGAAUAAAUUCAGGACCAUCAAGAUCUUCCAUCAAUCACCAUGUAAGUCAUAAUCUCUUUCAUGUACUUUUUUGUCGUUUAAGUCCUUUGAACUCCCAACUAAUCUCGAAAGUUUUGUUUUUGCAUGAUCACUUUAUGAGAUGACCCAAACGACAAAGUCCUCUUGGAGUCUCUCCAGUACAAACAAGUAGUGAAUUUGAGUAUCAUGAGAUACUUCUUGAACGCAUUUGCAAGUAAACAUUUCAUCCACAUAUCUGUUGGAUUCAGGGUAUUGUAAAUCUUCACAAUCUUGACUAGGCCUUUAUCUAUAAUGUCUCGAAUGAAAUGAAACUUGGUAGCUACAUGUUUAGUCCUAACAUGAUGAACUAAGUUUUUAGCAAGCAAAUAGAACUUUGUGAAUCACACUGUAGUCUGAAUUUUUUUGAAUUAAACCCCAAUUCAAUACAAAAAUCUAUUCACCAUAACCGUUACUUGUAGCAUUUGAUUAAACCAUGUACUCAGUCUCUGUGGUGGACAAUGCUACCACAUGCUAUAAUGUUUAUCUCCAAGUUCUUCAAAGGUAACAAAGGUUUCCCAGGAAUACACCACACCUGCAGAUACACUUGCUGCGUAGGGGAGCAAUCCUAAAGACCGCCAUAUUCAAACAUUUAAAAAUCUGUAAAAUAAUCACAAAAUUUAUUAUUAUAAAAUAAAAAUACAUCCGCGCGAGUCUAGUCUUAUUAUUUUUACUGAGUUCUUAAGUUUUCUUACAAGUUUUUAGUUUUUUUUUUUUUUUGGUAAUCAAACAUUUGAUUUUUCAAUAUACGUUUUUCAGAUCAUUCAUUAUCAUGGCCAGUCCAUGACGUAAGCAGAAGAAGCGGCUGUUUAGGGGUUGAACCCACCAUUUUCAAGGAUGAUUUCUCCCAGAAAAUUGGUUUUCAUAUAUUUUAACCUUUCCCCUCUGUAGACAUUUUUGUUUGAUUAGGAUGAAACAAUCUAAGAGAUGCCA
Molecule: long non-coding RNA, 2750 nt
Organism: Brassica napus (rape)
Lineage: Eukaryota; Viridiplantae; Streptophyta; Magnoliopsida; Brassicales; Brassicaceae
Exons: 2
Source: RefSeq, a predicted model, not a curated record